GACGAACGCUGGCGGCGGGCUUAACACAUGCAAGUCGAACGGAAAGGCCCUGCUUUUGUGGGGUGCUCGAGUGGCGAACGGGGGAGUAACACGUGAGUAACCUGCCCUUGACUUUGGGAUAACUUCAGGAAACUGGGGCUAAUACCGGAUAGGGGCUCCUGCUGCAUGGGGGGGGUUGGAAAGGUUCGGCGGUUGGGGAUGGACUCGCGGCUUAUCAGCUUGUUGGUGGGGUAGUGGCUUACCAAGGCUUUGACGGGUAGCCGGCCUGAGAGGGUGACCGGCCACAUUGGGACUGAGAUACGGCCCAGACUCCUACGGGAGGCAGCAGUGGGGAAUAUUGCACAAUGGGCGGAAGCCUGAUGCAGCAACGCCGCGUGCGGGAUGACGGCCUUCGGGUUGUAAACCGCUUUCGCCUGUGACGAAGCGUGAGUGACGGUAAUGGGUAAAGAAGCACCGGCUAACUACGUG
This 468-nucleotide ribosomal RNA is filed under the name uncultured bacterium. Its description in RNAcentral is "partial 16S ribosomal RNA". It matches the Rfam family "Bacterial small subunit ribosomal RNA", at positions 28 to 507 of the family's 1533-position model. The record is from RNAcentral.